GAUGAAGAACGCAGCGAGAUGCGAUACUUGGUGUGAAUUGCAGAAUCCCGUGAACCAUCGAGUCUUUGAACGCAAGUUGCGCCCGAAGCCAUUAGGCCUAGGGCACGCCUGCCUGGGCGUCACACGUCGUUGCCCCCCCAUCUACUCCUUCGGGAUUGCGGGGGGCGGAUGAUGGCCUCCCGUGCGCCUUGUCGCGCGGUUGGCAUAAAUGCCAAGUCCUCGGCGACGCACGCCACGACAAUCGGUGGUUGCGAAACCUCGGUUGCCCGUCGUGUGCGGUCGUCGCGCAUCGAGGGCUCGAAAAAAUUGUCGGGCUCCGGCUCGGCUUUCAACGCGACCCCAGGUCAGGCGGGGUUACCCGCUGAAUUUAAGCAUAUCAAUAAGCGGAGGA
RNAcentral lists this unclassified non-coding RNA (391 nucleotides) under soil metagenome. RNAcentral's name for it is "partial contains 5.8S ribosomal RNA, internal transcribed spacer 2, and large subunit ribosomal RNA". The stretch from base 1 to 122 matches the Rfam family "5.8S ribosomal RNA", at positions 35 to 154 of the family's 154-position model. The record is from RNAcentral.